UCUGUUCCAUCAAUAAAUACA
Molecule: non-coding RNA, 21 nt
Filed under: Caenorhabditis elegans
Lineage: Eukaryota; Metazoa; Nematoda; Chromadorea; Rhabditida; Rhabditidae
Source: RNAcentral